AUACGUAGGGAGCGAGCGUUGUCCGGAAUUACUGGGUGUAAAGGGAGCGUAGGCGGGAGUGCAAGUCAGAUGUGAAAUACAUGGGCUCAACCCAUGGGCUGCAUUUGAAACUGCAUUUCUUGAGUGAAGUAGAGGAAAGCGGAAUUCCUGGUGUAGCGGUGAAAUGCGUAGAUAUCAGGAGGAACACCGGUGGCGAAGGCGGCUUACUGGGCUUUUACUGACGCUGAGGCUCGAAAGCGUGGGGAGCAAACAGGAUUAGAUACCCUGGUAGUCCACGCUGUAAACGAUGAUUACUAGGUGUGGGGGGACUGACCCCUUCCGUGCCGCAGUUAACACAAUAAGUAAUCCACCUGGGGAGUACGGCCGCAAGGUUGAAACUCAAAUGAAUUGACGGGG
RNAcentral lists this ribosomal RNA (396 nucleotides) under uncultured bacterium. RNAcentral describes it as "partial 16S ribosomal RNA". It matches the Rfam family "Bacterial small subunit ribosomal RNA", at positions 523 to 918 of the family's 1533-position model. The record is from RNAcentral.